Molecule: ribosomal RNA, 253 nt
Filed under: uncultured bacterium
Lineage: Bacteria
Description: partial 16S ribosomal RNA
Rfam family: Bacterial small subunit ribosomal RNA
Source: RNAcentral
UACGUAGGGGCCGAGCGUUGUCCGGAGUUAUUGGGCGUAAAGCGCGCGCAGGCGGCUUGACGCGCCCGACGUGAAAGCCCCCGGCUUAACCGGGGAGGGUCGUCGGGUACGGUCAGGCUUGAGGGCGGGAGAGGGUGGUGGAAUUCCCGGUGUAGUGGUGAAAUGCGUAGAGAUCGGGAGGAACACCUGUGGCGAAGGCGACUGCCUGGACCAGCACUGACACUGAGGCACGAAAGCGUGGGGAGCAAACAGG